This 74-nucleotide transfer RNA is filed under the name Enterococcus faecium. RNAcentral describes it as "tRNA-Pro". It matches the Rfam family "tRNA". Rfam says of the family: Transfer RNA (tRNA) molecules are approximately 80 nucleotides in length. Their secondary structure includes four short double-helical elements and three loops (D, anti-codon, and T loops). Lineage: Bacteria; Bacillati; Bacillota; Bacilli; Lactobacillales; Enterococcaceae. The record is from RNAcentral.
CGGGAACUAGCUCAGCUCGGUAGAGCACUUGGUUUGGGACCAAGGAGUCGCCGGUUCGACCCCUGUCUUCCCGA